Molecule: unclassified non-coding RNA, 323 nt
Filed under: uncultured Microbotryomycetes
Lineage: Eukaryota; Fungi; Basidiomycota; Microbotryomycetes
Description: sequence contains 5.8S rRNA gene, ITS2, 28S rRNA gene
Source: RNAcentral
AACGCACCUUGCGCUCKCUGGUAUUCCGGMGAGCAUGCCUGUUUGAGUGUCAUGAACUCUUCAACCCUCCAAUUCCUUGUUUGAAUUGUGAGGUGUUUGGAUCUUGAACGUCUAUGCUGGCCUUUUCGAAGGCGAAGCUCGUUCGUAAUACAUUAGCAACUCAAUUUCGAUAUACUCGGAUUGACUCGGCGUGAUAGACUUAAAUAUUCGCUGAGGACAUCUUGUAAUGAGGUGGCCGAGUUACGAAGUGAAAGCUUCUAAUUUGAAUCUAAAGUCUUCUUAUGGUUGACCUCGGAUCAGGUAGGGAUACCCGCUGAACUUAA